UACGAGAGGCCCAAACGUUAUUCGGAAUUACUGGGCUUAAAGAGUUCGUAGGCGGCAUGAAAAGUAGGGUGUGAAAGCCCUCGGCUCAACCGAGGAAUUGCGCUCUAAACUGUCGUGCUCGAGGAACCUAGAGGUGAGCAGAACUGAUGGUGGAGCGGUGAAAUGCGUUGAUAUCAGGAAGAACACCCGUGGCGAAAGCGGCUCUCUGGGACGGUACUGACGCUGAGACGCGAAAGCGUGGGGAGCGAACAGG
This 253-nucleotide ribosomal RNA is filed under the name uncultured bacterium. Its description in RNAcentral is "partial 16S ribosomal RNA". It matches the Rfam family "Bacterial small subunit ribosomal RNA", at positions 524 to 776 of the family's 1533-position model. The record is from RNAcentral.